RNAcentral lists this ribosomal RNA (247 nucleotides) under uncultured bacterium. Its description in RNAcentral is "partial 16S ribosomal RNA". It matches the Rfam family "Bacterial small subunit ribosomal RNA", at positions 523 to 769 of the family's 1533-position model. The record is from RNAcentral.
AUACGUAGGUGGCAAGCGUUAUCCGGAUUUACUGGGUGUAAAGGGCGUGUGGGCGGGUUGUCAAGUCAGAUGUGAAAUCUAUGGGCUUAACCCAUAACGUGCAUUUGAAACUGACAGUCUUGAGUGAUGGAGAGGCAGGCGGAAUUCCUAGUGUAGCGGUGAAAUGCGUAGAUAUUAGGAGGAACACCAGUGGCGAAGGCGGCUUACUGGACUGUAACUGACGUUGAGGCUCGAAAGCGUGGGGAGC